RNAcentral lists this non-coding RNA (263 nucleotides) under Lentilactobacillus farraginis. RNAcentral describes it as "Lactobacillus farraginis T-box sequence". It matches the Rfam family "T-box leader". Rfam says of the family: Uncharged tRNA acts as the effector for transcription antitermination of genes in the T-box leader family. The record is from RNAcentral. Lineage: Bacteria; Bacillati; Bacillota; Bacilli; Lactobacillales; Lactobacillaceae.
UAAAAAACAAUGCGUAGAAGAGUAGUUUCCAGAAUGAUUUAAAGAGAGUCCCUAGUUGGUGUGAUGGGAUAAUCAGACUGGAAGUGAAAGUAGUCUACAAGUCGUAACUAUGAUUUCAAUGGUAGUAGUUACUGGGAAUGCGCCCAUUACCGCAAUGGAGUAUCGUUCAGAUCAGACCGGUCUUUUCUGAACCGUACUUUUUGAGCUGAUUAUUGUGAGAUAAUCAGGAAUAAAGGUGGUAACACGUGAAAAACGUCCUUAGC